Molecule: ribosomal RNA, 431 nt
Filed under: uncultured bacterium
Lineage: Bacteria
Description: partial 16S ribosomal RNA
Rfam family: Bacterial small subunit ribosomal RNA
Source: RNAcentral
CCUACGGGAGGCUGCAGUGGGGAAUAUUGGACAAUGGGGGCAACCCUGAUCCAGCGAUGCCGCGUGAGUGAAGAAGGCCUUUGGGUUGUAAAACUCUUUCCUUGACGAUACGGUAGCAGGAGAAGAAGCACCGGCUAACUCUGUGCCAGCAGCCGCGGUAAGACAGAGGGUGCUAGCGUUGUUCGGAAUGACUGGGCGUAAAGGGCGCGUAGGCUGUUGAUCAAGUUAGGUGUGAAAGCCCCGGGCUUAACCUGGGAACUGCAUUUAAUACUGAUUGACUGGAGAGCGAGAGAGGGAAGCGGAAUUCCUAGUGUAGAAGUGAAAUCUGUAGAUAUUAGGAGGAACACCAGAGGCGAAGGCGGCUUUCUGCCGCAACUGACGCUGAGGCGCGAAAGCGUGGGGAGCAAACAGGAUUAGAUACCCUAGUAGUC